RNAcentral lists this ribosomal RNA (467 nucleotides) under uncultured bacterium. RNAcentral's name for it is "partial 16S ribosomal RNA". It matches the Rfam family "Bacterial small subunit ribosomal RNA", at positions 28 to 507 of the family's 1533-position model. The record is from RNAcentral.
GACGAACGCUGGCGGCGUGCUUAACACAUGCAAGUCGAACGGAAAGGCCUUUCUGUUGUGGGGUGCUCGAGUGGCGAUCGUGUGAGUAACACGUGUGUAACCUGCCCUGUACGUGGGGAUAUCUGUAGGAAACUGGGCUAAUACCGGAUAGGAGCGUGUGCUGCAUGGUGGGGGUUGGAAAGUUUCGGCGGUUUGGUAUGGACUCGCGGCUUAUCAGCUUGUUGGUGGGGUAGUGGCUUACCAAGGCUUUGACGGGUAGCCGGCCUGAGAGGGUGACCGGCCACAUUGGGACUGAGAUACGACCCAGACUCCACAGGGAGGCAGCAGUGGGGAAUAUUGCACAAUGGGCGGAAGCCUGAUGCAGCACAGCCGCGUGCGGGAUGACGGCCUUCGGGUUGUAACAAAAAAUCGCCUGUGACGAAGCGUGAGUGACGGUAAUGGGUAAAGAAGCACCGGCUAACUACGUG